Long non-coding RNA from Harpegnathos saltator (Jerdon's jumping ant), 1239 nucleotides. RefSeq lists it as uncharacterized. NCBI's taxonomy places the organism in Eukaryota, Metazoa, Arthropoda, Insecta, Hymenoptera, Formicidae. The transcript has 3 exons. The record is from RefSeq and is a predicted model, not a curated record.
GAAGGGCGAAAAAUAAAGAUUACAGAAGAGUGCAGAAUGUGCAGGUACGAGGUGCGAAUCAUAGUUCCGCAAUCUCCCACGCUCGACGGGGACGCGCGGUGGUCUGAUUUACGCGGUGGUAAAAUAUUUGAAUCGGUAGCGGCCAUAACGGUGUCGCAGUUCGAGACACGAAUUUAUAUGUCAUUAGUUCGGCUCAAGAUUACAACGCUCGCUGUGAGACAAAGAUCAUCGCGGAGGCGACGCGCGAGAGCUCCGAAACAAUCGGCAAAAAGAGGUAAGUCACUCGAUAGCUAAAUGUCCUUGACGGCGAGCCGUGAUGUUUACAUUCCGCAGCCGAGAGACGACAACACAGUCAGCUCGCUUAGAACAUUCCCGACCUUCCGGACGGUACGAGUUGUUACGAUUCUCGUGCGUCGUGCACGAUGAUACAAAUAUAUCACGCUCGGUGUCCGCAUUCAUUUCGUUUCGUGUCGACGAGCGACGAGCAUAUCGCGACGUGCGUUACGUGUGCAUCAGUGCGUAUCGGUGCGAUUAUCAUUCUCGUCUCGGACAGUGCAAAGCUUGCGUCGGUCCUUCAAGUAUUUCAUCACGCUCGUCGGCGUCGCGUUGGUUGAGGGCCGGGGCAUACAAGAAAGUUUAAGCAUGGGGACGUAAGCGGUGAUUGUCGGUGCCACGAGUGUUCAAAAUGCUACAAUCGUGCUAUUAGGGCCAGGAUUGGGCAACCAAUCGAUGUGGAUUGCAAAACAUCGCCAAACAGCGGAUAUUGUAUAUUUGCAGACACAUAGACAGUGGCUACACACAGGUGAAGUUCGGUGGUACUUCUCCUAUAUAGACUCAUUACUGGAGGAUUCGGUUCAGGCAGCGCAGAGUCGGCUCGAAGGUAGGUUUAAAAACUUUUUUCUCCCUACGAUUUAAACUUUUGUUGUUGAAGUUGAGAUAUAAAUUGUUGAAGUCAAAAUUGUCGAAUUAAUCGGUAAAAAUAUAUUUUGUUCCAGAUUUGAAGGCAGAACGUGGCCGACUCUGUCUUCAGACUCGGUGAGUGAAAAAAUGGGUACAAAAACCGGAAGGUGAUGGGUAUGAAAAUUUAAUGAUAGAUGUUUAGAAAAGUCGUUAGAAUCAAUGCGAUUUACUUUGUUUGAAUUUUGCAUAUAUGUGCCGUACAAAAUUUAUUGCUCAAAAUAAACGGAGGAUCGUGCUUCUCCAAGUGUCUGAUAUCUAAAAUAUUGAAUAUUGUUUUGG